Choloepus didactylus (southern two-toed sloth) is the source of this 6888-nucleotide RNA transcript. It is a transcript of the gene named calcium release activated channel regulator 2A, with no coding region annotated. The transcript has 20 exons. The record is from RefSeq and is a predicted model, not a curated record. Lineage: Eukaryota; Metazoa; Chordata; Mammalia; Pilosa; Megalonychidae.
GGCGCGCGCACAUCCCCGAGGGCGUCCAGGGGGCGGCGGCCGCGUGCCGGCUGCUGGGCUCCCAGGGCGCGCGGCUUCCACUCCGGCGCGGCUGGGGGCAGGUCCAGCCCGCGCGGGUCGGGGCGGGGAGAGCCGGGCGGAGCAGCCGGGCGGCAAAGUGGCUGCCCCACAGCUCUGAGUCCAGCGGGCCGGCGCGGGCAGGUGCACGGGAAGGGGCGCAGCGGCGACGCCCGAGGUUGUGUCCUGACCACAGCUGCCUUCCAGGAGGCUGCCCUGGAGCCAGUCAGGAAAUCAGGCUGCUGCUGGGCCAGGUGGGCAGCGCCAACUUACCCCUCCUCCUCCAGGAGCUCAGCCGCCGUCUACACUCAGCAUCCAGCACAGCCAUAUCUCUGCCUGAGGAAAGAACUUUAGAAGGAAGCCUGAGGGAACUAGAGUCUGGAGACCUGAGAUUCCAAGGAGGCCCCAGGAGAGCUCAGUCAAGCUGUGCUGCCUCCCAGGCAGGAUUCCAAUCACUACUAGCAAAAUUGCCCUCCAGACGUGAAGAAUUACUGGUACAGUGAGCCAGUCAGCAAGGUUCUAAAAAGAAGUUGGUAAGUCUGGAUGGCUGCCUCGGACAGGGAGGUGGUCUCCAGACCCCAGAGAACUGGCCAAGGACCAAGGAGGAGCAGGGCCAGCCUGGGUCCCCCGGACAGUGCAGAGGGGAAGGAGACCCCGGAGCAAGCGCCGAUCCUCGCGGCCAUGCUGAGAAAGGCUCAGGAGUUCUUCCAGACGUGCGAUGCAGAGGGCAAGGGCUUCAUCGCCAGGAGGGACAUGCAGAGACUCCAUAAGGAGUUGCCACUCAGCCUGGAGGAUCUGGAGGAUGUGUUUGAUGCCCUGGAUGCUGAUGGCAAUGGCUUUCUGACCCCAGAGGAGUUCACAACGGGAUUUAGUCACUUCUUCUUCAGCCAGAAUGACCCAAGUUGGGAAGAAGCAGGUGAACAGGUGACCCCCCUCCGGGAUGAGAAGGUGUAUCAGUCCAGAGGGGAAGAGGAUCUGGGUGACAUGGACGGAGAUGAGGACACCCAGUUCCAGAUGCUGAUGGACAAACUUGGAGCCCAAAAGGUCUUGGAAGAUGAAAGUGACAUCAAGCAACUCUGGCUGCAGCUGAAGAAGGACGAACCUCAUUUACUCUCCAACUUCGAAGACUUCCUGAUCAAAAUCUUUUCCCAGCUCCAAGAAGCCCACGAGGAGAAGAAUGAACUGGAAUGCGCCCUGAAAAAGAAAAUUGCUGCUUAUGACGAAGAAAUCCAGCAUCUCUACGAGGAGAUGGAACAACAAAUCAAAAGCGAGAAGGAGCAGUUUCUCCUGAAAGACACGGAGAGAUUCCAGGCCUGCAGUCAGGAGCUAGAACAGAAACUAUUGUCCAAGGAGCAGGAACUGGAGCAGCUCGUUCAGAAGCAGAAAAGGCUGGAAGGCCAGUGCACAGCCCUGCACAAUGACAAGCAUGAAACCAAGGCUGAGAAUACCAAGCUGAGACUCACCAACCAGGAGCUGGCCCAGGAGCUGGAGAGGACCUCCCGGGAGCUGCAGGAUGCUCAGCAGCAGCUAGAAAGCCUCCAGCAAGAGGCCUGCAAGCUCCAUCAGGAGAAGGAGAUGGAGGUGUACCGCGUGACGGAGAGCCUGCAGCGGGAGAAGUCAGGGCUCCUGAAGCAGCUGGAUUUCCUGAGAGAAAGGAACAAGCACCUCCGGGAUGAACAGGACAUAAGUUUUCAGAAAGAUAAGGCAGCCAAGGCAAACACAGCUGCUUCCAAGGCAAGCUGGAAACAGAGAUCUGGUUCUGUGAUAGGCAAAUAUGUGGACGGCAGAGGGAUUCUUAGAAGCCAGUCAGAGGAAGAGGAAGAUGUGUUUGACCACGUGAGAAGGAGAAGCUCCUUGGGGCUCAGUGGAUAUCCCCUCACAGAAGAGGAGCCAGGAGCUGGGGAGCCAGGAGCUGGGGGUCCGCCACGCCGAAUGCUCCGCCGAAUCAUCUCCAUCGAAGAAGACCCCCUGCCCCAGCUCCUGGAUGGGGGCUUUGAGCGGCCACUGAGCAAGUGCCCAGAAGAGAAGGAGGGCUCCAACCAGGGGGUUCAAGCACAAAUGCAGCAGGCCCCCGCCCUGGAACUCACCCCCACCAGUCCCCGACGGCAGCCUGUUGGGAAAGAAUCUCUGACUAAGGAGGAGAGCCGUGCCUCCACCCCAGACCGGCUCUUCAAGAUCGUGCUCGUGGGCAAUUCCAGCGUGGGCAAGACUUCAUUCCUGAGGAGGUUCUAUGAGGGCCGGUUCUCCCCGGGCAUUGCAGCCACUGUCGGGAUCGAUUACCGUGUGAAGACGGUGACCGUGGACGGCUCUCGGGUGGCGCUGCAGCUGUGGGACACGGCCGGGCAGGAGAGGUAUCGGUGCAUCACCCGGCAGUUUUUCAGGAAGGCCGAUGGUGUCAUCGUCAUGUAUGACCUCACAGCCAAGGAGUCCUUCCUGGCGGUCCGGCAGUGGCUGAGCAGCGUGGAGGUGAGCUCGGGACCUUGCCGAGAACACUCGGGCCACUCUUUUCUUGCCUCCCUUUUCUUUUUUGACCUUCUCCAGCCCACCCCCCCUUCACUUUCAAGACCCGAUCCAGAUUCAGAACUCAUCUUCUCCAGGCACAAACCCACUCGGACAUCCCGUUAUCCGGUCAUCCAGAUGCCUGGGACCAGGAAGCUGUGGGAGACUGCAUACCUGUUCUUCUGCUGGGCAAUAAAAUUGACAUCGAGAAGGAGCGGGAAGUCCCCCGGGGCCUCGGAGAACAGCUUGCCAAGGAGAACAAUCUGAUCUUCUAUGAAUGCAGCGCCUUUUCUGGUCACAAUGCCAAGGAGUCCUUGCUCCAUCUAGCCAGGAUCCUCAAGGAGCAAGAAGACACAGCGAGGGAGGACACCAUUCGCGUCAGCCGCCCUGCCAAGAAGAAGUCCUGCUGUAGCUGAUGGGAGGCCUCCCAGGACCGCUCCCACUGAGCCCGAGGUCACAGGGCCAUGGAUGCUGCCCACCAAGCCUGCCCGGACCCUUGUCCUUGUCAGUGACCUGCUUCCCCGCCAAGGAGGGGAAGCGCAGACAGUGCAGAAAGCUGCUCUUGGAGCAUCUGGGAACCUCUCUCUCUAGACCCCAGAUGUCCGUUCCUUUUACCCCCAGCUUGGUUUCCUGCUGGGGGAAGAAAACAGAUGGACUUUUCCAGAAAAGCCGCCGCCUGCCUUCUCCGCCCCCUGCCCUGAGGAGCCGCAGCACCACAGUUGCCAUGGCAACCAGGCAGGACCAACUGGCUGCUCCCUGCAGGCCGAAGGAUUAUCCUACUCGGCGACACCAGGGUGGUUGGUCCUGCUUUGGCUCCCGUCCUCUGGAGGCCAGCGGGCUGCCUUUGGUAUAAACACUUCAUGGGCCUCGAGAGACCCAUGUGUGGUUGGCGCGUUCCAUGUCACCCUCCCUCCGCUCCCCAGGGUCCUUCUCCUUCCCUCAUUCCCAAGCUUCGGAGUCCAGCCCCUCUGAGCAGCCACUCUGCACUGUGUUUGCUCUUCAGCUCUCUAGAACUAUGUCUUACCAAGAACCCACAGCUUUCCCGUCCCACCCCCCGCCCCCCAGCCCCAAUCCUCACUCCAAGGUGGAGCACCGAUGAUAAAUUUAUGCCCUGGGUGAGGAGAACAGGCUCUCUUCCUACUUAACUUUGACUAAAAGAUGCAAAGAAAACUAGAGGGGAUAAAACCAUCUGCUGCUAAACAGACCAUUUCUGGAGGGUGUAAAUAAGGUAUAUAUAGCUAUAUAAAAGCCAUUUUCUAAAUGUUUCUCAAAAUAGCUCUUGGGAAAAUUGUACAUGAUGAUUAACAGGGUAGAUUGACAUGCAGGCAGCAAGGCCCAACACUAGGUCCAUGGUUAUUGACUGCAUUUUAUUUUAUUUUACUUUAUUUUAGAAGAUUGUAUUUAAAAGAAAAAAUCUGUGGCUGUGACGUUGACAUUGUGCCGGUGUUUGAGAAGUGAGCAGAGAGUAGCCACUGGCUUUCACACCCUUUGGCUGCGGCAGCACAGGGCACUUUGAUUAAAGGACUGAUCUGGGGACCUGUCUUGUUUCCUUCAGCUGGGCGGUGGUGAGUUCCCAGUCCCUGGCAGUGUUCCCGCAUCACUGGCUGGCAGUCAGGGGUGCUGGGGAGGGCAUUCCUGCCCUGGGUGGGAGGUUGGAUGAAAAGGUCACAAAGAUAAAAUUCUAGGACUGCAGACCCAGAUCCCUGCAGGAAAGUGGGUACUCCAUGCCCAAAAGGGGCAGGAGGGAGGGAGAGGAGCAGGAAGGGCACGCAGGCCUCCAAGAGGCUGUUCCAGGGGACCCCUCACAACCAACCAGGCAGGGACGCCACUGGUGGAGUUCCCAAGAGCUUGGAACCCUGCAGCCUCCUCUCUGCCCCCCAAAAGGGCCUCCAGCCAAGUGCCCACCUCCUUUCUGCAGACUUCCCUUUCUCAUCCAGAGCCUUUAGAGACCAGAGAGUUCAUGGAAGGUUCUGAUCGAGACCCGGGACUGAGUCCCAGGAGGCACACCACAAUUUGGGGAAAGCCAGCUCCCUUCCAUGUCAGUAAAAUGAGGGAGGUGGGCUGUCUGAUCACUGCGGCUCUUCCUGCCCGGGUGCUUGUGAUGAUCUUGGUCAUUUCCAUCCUAGGUGUGGCCCUGGACCCCCGUACAAGGUUGAAGGGAACUCUCAGGAAACUCCUUUCCCUAAGGGUGGGUCAGGGUGAUGGUCUCCUCAGCGUGAUGGAGGCUGGGGGGUGGAGGGAGAGUGUGAGUCACCCCAAGGUGGCCCUCCAACAUCUGUGUGUGCCUGUAUGUGUUGUAGUGUGUGUGGAGGGCUGGGGAGAAGUUAGAGACAGUAGACCAGCUCCCCACAUUCUGGCAAAACCAGAGACGGCAGGUGGGAUUUAUGGGGCAGGCAUAUACCUGGGGCUCCCUGAGCCCACAGAUGCCUUCCUCUCUGAUAGCUCAUCCCUGCCUUAGGGCCACAGCCAUUCAGAGAAAGUGCAGUCAGGGUUUAGAACAGGGUGGGAUGGUGCCCGGCCUGCCAGCAGUUGGGGUAAAUUCCCACAAGGCCUCAAAGGUCCAGGCAGAGAGAAGUGGGGAAGGGAAGGUCCCCAGGGCCCUGCUCCUCACUCCUCCAACUCCGCUUGAAGAAGGUGUGGAGGAUGGGGACUCCGGAAGGACUCUGAGAAGCCCCCUUGUGCCCAGGUCUCAGCCACCCUCCUUUCCUCCUUCCUUUUAAGCCACCUCAGUAAUCAAAGCCACUCCCAUGACUGUCAGCCUGGCCGAGAGCCUGGCAGAGGCUGUCAGAAAACCCUUCCAGCUCAGUCCUAUGUACAUCACUGUUUCGAUCGCAACAAGUCACUUAACCAGCUUCAUAUUCACAUGUAGAGUGGAGGCUUCAAUGUCUACAUCACAGGGACAUUUUAAGUUUUAAAUGAGAUAAUGUAUGUAACGCACUCAGCAUAGUGCCCAGCACAUAGUAGGUGAUAAUAAGUAGGGACUAUUACUGUUGUCAACAUCUAAUUGCUGCUCAGACCACUUGCCUUGAUUCAGUUUCAGAUUUAGAACCAGCCAACAUUUACUAAGCAUCUACCCAGAACUGGGCACUUUCUCAAAUAAUAGCUUGUUUGAGUGCCUGCUUGCCCAGCCCAUUUGCCCGGGUUCUGAGCUCUUAUCUGGCUUUGCCUCUCAGCCUCCGUGUCCUUUGUUCUCCUUUUGUUCUGUGGGUUUCUUGGUUUUUCUCUCCACCAAGACUUUUACUUGAAGGCCCUGGCUUUCCUUAUCAGAGCCCCCAUAUCCCACCAGUGUCUGCUGUGGGAUUUCAGUCCCUAGUCCCCCUACCCCUGGUGCUACAGGACUCAGCAGCUCUGACCUGGUGCCAGCUCCUGGGUGCUUUACCUAUGAAUGACCUCAUCACCAUCCCCAGCCCUGCACCUGCAAACUUAUUCUAACUCCUUGUGCUUCCUCUGGGGCCAGUGGCUGCCCUUGCCCCAGAGCUGCCAAAUCAGGAGCUCCAGCUCCAAACCAAUGCUGCCUUGUUCCUCAUCUAGCAUUUGUUUUCCUUCACAGUUUUUUAGGGAUCUUUUCUGUCCCCCUACAAUACUUUCUCCCAUCUCUCCCAUCCUGUACUCUUGCCUCAUUCUCAGUACUCCCACCCAAUCUUGGACUCCCUCCUCCGUAAUCCUCCCCUGGCCCACUCCAGGCCUUACCUAUCCACUCCAUCAAAUGUGGUUCGACCCUUUUUCUCUGUCACUAGCAGUCAGUGCUCCAAAAGAACUUAAACUCGUUUCAUCUAAAGUGUUAAUACAAAUGGCUCCAGGGCUACGUUUACACUUUAACAGAUAACUCUAUGGGAGGCAAAACUUUAACUCAUAGGAAUGAGUCUCUAGGGGUGGAAUAUUAUGCACUAUAAUGGGUCAUGGGGGUCAAAUAUUUCAGGACAGAGUUGCCUUCUCCUAUACUCCUCUCAGGAUCUCACAUUGCUUCAUGUAUUUUGGAGCUCUGUUUCUCAGUGCAUGUAUGUUUAGAAUUGUUAUAUCUUCUUAAUGGAUUGACCCUUUAUCAUUAUGUAGUGUUCUUCUUUGGCUUUUAUAAAAAAUUUAUGACAAACUUUAUUUUAUCUGAUAUAAGUAUAGCUACUCCAGCUCUUUUUUGGUCACUGCUUGGUAGAUCUUUUUCCAUCUUUUGCCUUCAGACUAUUGAACCAAAGUGAGUGUCUUCUCCCGGGGAGGAAUGAAAUAAGCUUCAGUGGCAGAGAGAUUCCAAAAGGAGCCGAGAGGUCACUCUGGUGGGCACUCUUACGCACAACAUAGACAACCCUUUUUAGGUUCUAAUGAAUUGGGGUAGCUGGU